GACGAACGCUGGCGGCGUGCUUAACACAUGCAAGUCGAGCGGUAAGGCCCUUUCGGGGGUACGACGAGCGGCGAACGGGUGAGUAACACGUGGGUGACCUGCCCUCAGCUCUGGGAUAAGCCUGGGAAACUGGGUCUAAUACUGGAUAUGACUCCACGGUGCAUGUCGUGGGGUGGAAAGCCUUGUGCGGCUGAGGAUGGGCCCGCGGCCUAUCAGCUUGUUGGUGGGGGAUGGCCUACCAAGGCGACGACGGGUAGCCGGCCUGAGAGGGCGGACCGGCCACACUGGGACUGAGACACGGCCCAGACUCCUACGGGAGGCAGCAGUGGGGAAGUCUUGCGCAAUGGGCGAAAGCCUGACGCAGCGACGCCGCGUGAGGGAUGACGGCCU
This 390-nucleotide ribosomal RNA is filed under the name uncultured bacterium. RNAcentral's name for it is "bacterial SSU rRNA". It matches the Rfam family "Bacterial small subunit ribosomal RNA", at positions 28 to 417 of the family's 1533-position model. The record is from RNAcentral.